RNAcentral lists this ribosomal RNA (497 nucleotides) under uncultured bacterium. Its description in RNAcentral is "partial 16S ribosomal RNA". It matches the Rfam family "Bacterial small subunit ribosomal RNA", at positions 28 to 507 of the family's 1533-position model. The record is from RNAcentral.
GAUGAACGCUGGCGGCGUGCCUAAUACAUGCAAGUCGAGCGAACGGACGAGAAGCUUGCUUCUCUGAUGUUAGCGGCGGACGGGUGAGUAACACGUGGAUAACCUACCUAUAAGACUGGGAUAACUUCGGGAAACCGUAGCUAAUACCGGAUAAUAUUUUGAACCGCAUGGUUCAAAAGAGAAAGACGGUCUUGCUGUCACUUAUAGAUGGAUCCGCGCUGCAUUAGCUAGUUGGUAAGGUAACGGCUUACCAAGGCGACGAUGCAUAGCCGACCUGAGAGGGUGAUCGGCCACACUGGAACUGAGACACGGUCCAGACUCCUACGGGAGGCAGCAGUAGGGAAUCUUCGGCAAUGGGCGAAAGCCUGACGGAGCAACGCCGCGUGAGUGAUGAAGGUCUUCGGAUCGUAAAACUCUGUUAUUAGGGAAGAACAUAUGUGUAAUUAACUGUGCACAUCUUGACGGUACCUAAUCAGAAAGCCCCGGCUAACUACGUG